CCUACGGGGGGCUGCAGUGGGGAAUAUUGCACAAUGGGCGCAAGCCUGAUGCGGCCAUGCCGCGUGUGUGAAGAAGGCCUUCGGGUUGUAAAGCACUUUCAGCGGGGAGGAAGGCGGUGAGGUUAAUAACCUCAUCGAUUGACGUUACCCGCAGAAGAAGCACCGGCUAACUCCGUGCCAGCAGCCGCGGUAAUACGGAGGGUGCAAGCGUUAAUCGGAAUUACUGGGCGUAAAGCGCACGCAGGCGGUCUGUCAAGUCGGAUGUGAAAUCCCCGGGCUCAACCGGGGAACUGCAUUCGAAACUGGCAGGCUAGAGUCUUGUAGAGGGGGGUAGAAUUCCAGGUGUAGCGGUGAAAUGCGUAGAGAUCUGGAGGAAUACCGGUGGCGAAGGCGGCCCCCUGGACAAAGACUGACGCUCAGGUGCGAAAGCGUGGGGAGCAAACAGGAUUAGAUACCCCGGUAGUC
RNAcentral lists this ribosomal RNA (465 nucleotides) under uncultured Klebsiella sp. Its description in RNAcentral is "bacterial SSU rRNA". It matches the Rfam family "Bacterial small subunit ribosomal RNA", at positions 338 to 795 of the family's 1533-position model. Lineage: Bacteria; Pseudomonadati; Pseudomonadota; Gammaproteobacteria; Enterobacterales; Enterobacteriaceae. The record is from RNAcentral.